Molecule: ribosomal RNA, 576 nt
Filed under: Salmonella enterica
Lineage: Bacteria; Pseudomonadati; Pseudomonadota; Gammaproteobacteria; Enterobacterales; Enterobacteriaceae
Also listed under: 2 other names
Description: partial 23S ribosomal RNA
Rfam family: Bacterial large subunit ribosomal RNA
Source: RNAcentral
GUGGACGCCAGUCUGCAUGGAGCCGACCUUGAAAUACCACCCUUUAAUGUUUGAUGUUCUAACGUGGACCCGUGAUCCGGGUUGCGGACAGUGUCUGGUGGGUAGUUUGACUGGGGCGGUCUCCUCCUAAAGAGUAACGGAGGAGCACGAAGGUUGGCUAAUCCUGGUCGGACAUCAGGAGGUUAGUGCAAUGGCAUAAGCCAGCUUGACUGCGAGCGUGACGGCGCGAGCAGGUGCGAAAGCAGGUCAUAGUGAUCCGGUGGUUCUGAAUGGAAGGGCCAUCGCUCAACGGAUAAAAGGUACUCCGGGGAUAACAGGCUGAUACCGCCCAAGAGUUCAUAUCGACGGCGGUGUUUGGCACCUCGAUGUCGGCUCAUCACAUCCUGGGGCUGAAGUAGGUCCCAAGGGUAUGGCUGUUCGCCAUUUAAAGUGGUACGCGAGCUGGGUUUAGAACGUCGUGAGACAGUUCGGUCCCUAUCUGCCGUGGGCGCUGGAGAACUGAGGGGGGCUGCUCCUAGUACGAGAGGACCGGAGUGGACGCAUCACUGGUGUUCGGGUUGUCAUGCCAAUGGCACU